GCCGCGUGCCAGGACUCCGACGACGCCGCCGGCACCAGCAACCUCUUCCAGCUUGAGGAGAACAGCCAGCUCAAGGAGGAGCUGAUGCGCAAGACCCGGGAGCUCGACAGAAUCAUACAGACAUAGUAGAAACUGUCAAAUGCAAGUGGAAGCUACCGAGGUG
This is a long non-coding RNA of Triticum dicoccoides, 163 nucleotides long. RefSeq lists it as uncharacterized. The record is from RefSeq and is a predicted model, not a curated record. NCBI's taxonomy places the organism in Eukaryota, Viridiplantae, Streptophyta, Magnoliopsida, Poales, Poaceae. The transcript is spliced from 3 exons.